AGACGCACUCGUGCCAGCCGCCGCGGUGAUACGAAGGGUGCAAGCGUUAAUCGGAAUUUACUGGGCGUAAAGACGUGCGUAGGCGGUUGGCUAAGUCAGAUGUGAAAGCCCUGGGCUCAACCUGGGAAUGGCAUUUGAAACUGGUCGGCUAGAGUGUGAUAGAGGAUGGCGGAAUUCCCGGUGUAGCGGUUGAAAUGCGUAGAGAUCGGGAGGAACAUCCGUGGCGAAGGCGGCCAUCUGGAUCAACGACUGACGCUGAGGCACGAAAGCGUGGGGAGCAAACAGGAUUAGAUACCCUGGUAGUCCACGCCCUAAACGAUGGCGAACUGGAUGUUGGGCUCAACUCGGAGCUCAGUGUCGAAGCUAAACGCGUUAAAGUUCGCCGACCUGGGGA
This 394-nucleotide ribosomal RNA is filed under the name uncultured bacterium. Its description in RNAcentral is "bacterial SSU rRNA". It matches the Rfam family "Bacterial small subunit ribosomal RNA", at positions 486 to 879 of the family's 1533-position model. The record is from RNAcentral.